CCUACGGGCGGCUGCAGUGAGGAAUAUUGGUCAAUGGACGAGAGUCUGAACCAGCCAAGUAGCGUGAAGGAUGACUGCCCUAUGGGUUGUAAACUUCUUUUAUAUGGGAAUAAAAUGUUCCACGUGUGGGAUUUUGUAUGUACCAUAUGAAUAAGGAUCGGCUAACUCCGUGCCAGCAGCCGCGGUAAUACGGAGGAUCCGAGCGUUAUCCGGAUUUAUUGGGUUUAAAGGGAGCGUAGGUGGAUUGUUAAGUCAGUUGUGAAAGUUUGCGGCUCAACCGUAAAAUUGCAGUUGAAACUGGCAGUCUUGAGUACAGUAGAGGUGGGCGGAAUGCGUGGUGUAGCGGUGAAAUGCUUAGAUAUCACGAAGAACUCCGAUUGCGAAGGCAGUUCACUGGACUGCAACUGACACUGAGGCUCGAAAGUGUGGGUAUCAAACAGGAUGAGAUACCCCUGUAGUC
This 460-nucleotide ribosomal RNA is filed under the name uncultured bacterium. RNAcentral's name for it is "partial 16S ribosomal RNA". It matches the Rfam family "Bacterial small subunit ribosomal RNA", at positions 338 to 795 of the family's 1533-position model. The record is from RNAcentral.